RNAcentral lists this ribosomal RNA (705 nucleotides) under nematode environmental sample AGO-2003. RNAcentral describes it as "SSU rRNA". It matches the Rfam family "Eukaryotic small subunit ribosomal RNA", at positions 495 to 1206 of the family's 1831-position model. Lineage: Eukaryota; Metazoa; Nematoda. The record is from RNAcentral.
UUGUGGCUUCCCAUCGGAAAUGGGCNCAAUAUAAUUCUUUUAAACGAGGAUNUAUUANAAGGGCAAGUUUUGGUGCCAGCAANCCGCGGUAAUUCCAGCUCUAAUAGUGAUAUUAAAAUUGUUGUGGUUAAAACGCCNGUAGUUGGAUCUUCGGUCUUGAAGCUCAGUAGCCCGUAAGGGUUUAACUGAGUCUUCUGGCCUCGAUUCUAGUUUUCUCCUGAUGCUCUUUAUUGAGUGUCUUGAGUAGCUAGGAAUUUUACUUUGAAAAAAUUAGAGUGCUAAAAGCAGGCUAUACGCUUGAAUAAAGUGCAUGGAAUAAUGGAAUACGACUUUAGUCUUAUUUUGUUGGUUUUCGAGAUUAAAGUAAUGAUUAAGAGGAACAGCCGGGGGCAUUUGUAUUGUUGCGUUAGAGGUGAAAUUCUUGGAUCGCAGCAAGACAAACAACUGCGAAAGCAUUUGCCAAGAAUGUUUUCAUUAAUCAAGGACGAUAGUUAGAGGUUCGAAGGCGAUCAGAUACCGCCCUAGUUCUAACCGUAAACGAUGCCAACUAGCGAUCCGCCGGCGUUAAAAUUUGACUCGGCGGGCAGCUUCCGGGAAACCAAAGUUUUGGUUCCGGGGGAAGUAUGGUUGCAAAGCUUAAACCUAAAGGAAUUGACGGAAGGGCACCACAAGGAGUGGAGCCUGCGGCUUAAUUUGACUAAGGGC